GAUGAACGCUGGCGGCGUGCCUAAUACAUGCAAGUCGAGCGAACAGACGAGGAGCUUGCUCCUCUGACGUUAGCGGCGGACGGGUGUGUAACACGUGGAUAACCUACCUAUAAGACUGGGAUAACUUCGGGAAACCGGAGCUAAUACCGGAUAAUAUAUUGAACCGCAUGGUUCAAUAGUGAAAGACGGUUUUGCUGUCACUUAUAGAUGGAUCCGCGCCGCAGUAGCUAGUUGGUAAGGUAACGGCUUACCAAGGCAACGAGGCGUAGCCGAGCUGAGAGGGUGAUCGCCCACACUGGAACUGAGACACGGUCCAGACUCCUACGGGAGGCAGCAGUAGGGAAUCUUCCGCAAUGGGCGAAAGCUUGACGGAGCAACGCCGCGUGAGUGAUGAAGGUCUUCGGAUCGUAAAACUCUGUUAUUAGGGAAGAACAAAUGCGUAAGUAACUAUGCACGUCUUGACGGUACCUAAUCAGAAAGCCACGGCUAACUACGUG
This 497-nucleotide ribosomal RNA is filed under the name uncultured bacterium. RNAcentral's name for it is "partial 16S ribosomal RNA". It matches the Rfam family "Bacterial small subunit ribosomal RNA", at positions 28 to 507 of the family's 1533-position model. The record is from RNAcentral.